This 468-nucleotide ribosomal RNA is filed under the name uncultured bacterium. Its description in RNAcentral is "partial 16S ribosomal RNA". It matches the Rfam family "Bacterial small subunit ribosomal RNA", at positions 28 to 507 of the family's 1533-position model. The record is from RNAcentral.
GACGAACGCUGGCGGCGUGCUUAACACAUGCAAGUCGAACGGAAAGGCCCUGCUUUUGUGGGGUGCUCGAGUGGCGAACGGGUGAGUAACACGUGAGUAACCUGCCCUUGACUUUGGGAUAACUUCAGGAAACUGGGGCUAAUACCUGAUAGGAGCUCCUGCUGCAUGGUGGGGGUUGGAAAGUUUCGGCGGUUGGGGAUGGACUCGCGGCUUAUCAGCUUGUUGGUGGGGUAGUGGCUUACCAAGGCUUUGACGGGUAGCCGGCCUGAGAGGGUGACCGGCCACAUUGGGACUGAGAUACGGCCCAGACUCCUACGGGAGGCAGCAGUGGGGAAUAUUGCACGAUGGGCGGAAGCCUGAUGCAGCAACGCCGCGUGCGGGAUGACGGCCUUCGGGUUGUAAACCGCUUUCGCCUGUGACGAAGCGUGAGUGACGGUAAUGGGUAAAGAAGCACCGGCUAACUACGUG